Molecule: ribosomal RNA, 752 nt
Filed under: uncultured Peptostreptococcus sp.
Lineage: Bacteria; Bacillati; Bacillota; Clostridia; Peptostreptococcales; Peptostreptococcaceae
Description: bacterial SSU rRNA
Rfam family: Bacterial small subunit ribosomal RNA
Source: RNAcentral
UUCUGGGCCAUGACUGACGCUGAGGCGCGAAAGCUAGGGGAGCGAACAGGAUUAGAUACCCUGGUAGUCACGCUGUAAACGAUGAGUACUAGGUGUCGGGGGUUACCCCCCUCGGUGCCGCAGCUAACGCAUUAAGUACUCCGCCUGGGGAGUACGCACGCAAGUGUGAAACUCAAAGGAAUUGACGGGGACCCGCACAAGUAGCGGAGCAUGUGGUUUAAUUCGAAGCAACGCGAAGAACCUUACCUAAGCUUGACAUCCCUCGGACAGGUGUUUAAUCACACCCUUCCUUCGGGACUGAGGUGACAGGUGGUGCAUGGUUGUCGUCAGCUCGUGUCGUGAGAUGUUGGGUUAAGUCCCGCAACGAGCGCAACCCUUGUCUUUAGUUGCCAGCAUUUAGUUGGGCACUCUAGAGAGACUGCCAGGGAUAACCUGGAGGAAGGUGGGGAUGACGUCAAAUCAUCAUGCCCCUUAUGCUUAGGGAUACACACGUGCUACAAUGGGUGGUACAGAGGGUUGCCAAACCGUGAGGUGGAGCCAAUCCCUUAAAGCCAUUCUCAGUUCGGAUUGUAGGCUGAAACUCGCCUACAUGAAGCUGGAGUUACUAGUAAUCGCAGAUCAGAAUGCUGCGGUGAAUGCGUUCCCGGGUCUUGUACACACCGCCCGUCACACCACGGGAGUCGGAAACACCCGAAGCCGAUUAUCCAACCGCAAGGAGGAAGUCGUCGAAGGUGGCGUCGAUAACUGGGGUG